UACAGAGGGUGCAAGCGUUAAUCGGAAUUACUGGGCGUAAAGCGCGUGUAGGCUGCCCUGCAAGUCGGAUGUGAAAGCCCUGGGCUCAACCUAGGAAGUGCACUCGAAACUGCAGGGCUGGAGUCCUGGAGAGGAAGGCGGAAUUCUCGGUGUAGAGGUGAAAUUCGUAGAUAUCGAGAGGAGCACCGGUGGCGAAGGCGGCCUUCUGGACAGUGACUGACGCUGAGACGCGAAAGCUUGGGGAGCAAACAGG
Molecule: ribosomal RNA, 253 nt
Filed under: uncultured bacterium
Lineage: Bacteria
Description: partial 16S ribosomal RNA
Rfam family: Bacterial small subunit ribosomal RNA
Source: RNAcentral